CGGGACUCUUAUGAGGCCCCGUAAUUGGAAUGAGAACAAUCUAAAUCCUUUAACGAGGAUCUAUUAGAGGGCAAGUCUGGUGCCAGCAGCCGCGGUAAUUCCAGCUCUAAUAGCGUAUACUAAAGUUGUUGUGGUUAAAAAGCUCGUAGUUGGAUCUCAGUUCUAGUCAGGCGGUCCACUUGCCAGUGGUUACUGCCUGGCUGAACACUUUAUCGACUCUGUCUACGGUACUCUUAACCGAGCGUCGUAGGCGAUCGAUACGUUUACUUUGAAAAAAUUAGAGUGCUCAAAGCAGGCUUUAAAAGCCCGAAUAAUGUUGCAUGGAAUAAUGGAAUAGGACCUCGGUUCUAUUUUGUUGGUCUUCGGAAUCUGAGGUAAUGAUUAAGAGGGACAGACGGGGGCAUUCGUAUUGCGACGCUAGAGGUGAAAUUCUUGGACCGUUGCAAGACGAACUAAAGCGAAGGCAUUUGCCAAGAAUGUUUUCAUUAAUCAAGAACGAAAGUUAGCGGAUCGAAGGCGAUCAGAUACCGCCCUAGUGCUAACCAUAAACGAUGCCAACCAGUAAUAUGCCUGAGUUCCUUAAAUGACUCGGCAUGGGACUUCCGGGAAACCAAAUCUUCGGUUCCAGGGGAAGUAUGGUUGCAAAGCUGAAA
RNAcentral lists this ribosomal RNA (653 nucleotides) under Arthropoda environmental sample. RNAcentral describes it as "SSU rRNA". It matches the Rfam family "Eukaryotic small subunit ribosomal RNA", at positions 486 to 1142 of the family's 1831-position model. The record is from RNAcentral. Lineage: Eukaryota; Metazoa; Arthropoda.